Molecule: long non-coding RNA, 523 nt
Organism: Aedes aegypti (yellow fever mosquito)
Lineage: Eukaryota; Metazoa; Arthropoda; Insecta; Diptera; Culicidae
Exons: 2
Source: RefSeq, a predicted model, not a curated record
GGGACUUUGUUUUGUUUUUUUGUUGCAGUUUCGGUAUAGCAAGAUGGCCGGAAGAACAAUUUUCACGUGUGUUCACAAAUAUUAAGUUUUCCUUCUUGAUCCGACAGUAGGAAAUAUAUUAAAAUAGUCGUGAAUAAACCAAUAGAGUCCUGACAUUGUAACCAAAAUCGGGUGAGAAACUCUGGACACAUUUUCCACCGUCCGGAAGGGAAAUUUAUUGACCAAACUAAAGAGUCAGGAUUCUCCCGGAGGAGGAUGAGAUUGAAGGCGAUGAAAAGGCAGAUGCAUGGAUAUUUUUUUCACCCAGCAUCCGGCAAAACACCCAUGAGACAGAGCAUACGUGAGGGAUCUUAAAAUGGACACCAAACGAAAUGAACCAUACACCGGAACAAAGGAGCCCGGAAACACGCCGGGAAGAUGAGAAGUGUCCAAGUAUGAGAAUGCACAUUUAUAAUUUGUAUUAUCUACAGUGAAUAACUUGUUAAUUUAAUUAUGAACAUAUUGAUUAAAUAAAUAAAUGGGA